UGGGGAAUAUUGCGCAAUGGGCGAAAGCCUGACGCAGCGACGCCUCGUGAGGGAUGAAGGUCUUCGGAUCGUAAACCUCUGUCAAGAGGGAAGAAACCCUUGAGCUCAAAUAGGGCUUGAGGCUGACGGUACCUCUAAAGGAAGCACCGGCUAACUCCGUGCCAGCAGCCGCGGUAAUACGGAGGGUGCAAGCGUUAAUCGGAAUCACUGGGCGUAAAGCGCUCGUAGGCGGUCUGUUAAGUCAGAUGUGAAAUCCCUCGGCUCAACCGGGGAACUGCAUUUGAUACUGGCAGACUUGAGUGUCGGAGAGGGUGGCGGAAUUCCGGGUGUAGGAGUGAAAUCCGUAGAUAUCCGGAGGAACACCAGUGGCGAAGGCGGCCACCUGGACGACAACUGACGCUGAGGAGCGAAAGCGUGGGUAGCAAACA
Molecule: ribosomal RNA, 428 nt
Filed under: uncultured prokaryote
Description: bacterial SSU rRNA
Rfam family: Bacterial small subunit ribosomal RNA
Source: RNAcentral